GCCACUGUGGUGUAGUGGUUUGAGUGUUGAACUACGACUCUAGAGACUAGGGUUCGAACCCCUGCUGAGCCA
Molecule: non-coding RNA, 72 nt
Organism: Phrynosoma platyrhinos (Desert horned lizard)
Lineage: Eukaryota; Metazoa; Chordata; Lepidosauria; Squamata; Phrynosomatidae
Source: the annotation of a GenBank genome assembly